UGCGCAGGCGGAAUAUUAAGUCAGUGGUGAAAUACUGCCGCUUAACGGUAGAACUGCCAUUGAUACUGCGAAUCUUGAGUAUGGUUGAGGUAGGCGGAAUGUGUAGUGUAGCGGUGAAAUGCAUAGAUAUUACACAGAACUCCGAUUGCGAAGGCAGCUUACUAAGCCAUAACUGACGCUGAGGCACGAAAGCGUGGGGAGCGAACAGGAUUAGAUACCCUGGUAGUCC
RNAcentral lists this ribosomal RNA (229 nucleotides) under uncultured bacterium. RNAcentral describes it as "partial 16S ribosomal RNA". It matches the Rfam family "Bacterial small subunit ribosomal RNA", at positions 568 to 796 of the family's 1533-position model. The record is from RNAcentral.